RNAcentral lists this ribosomal RNA (1002 nucleotides) under uncultured Phycicoccus sp. RNAcentral describes it as "bacterial SSU rRNA". It matches the Rfam family "Bacterial small subunit ribosomal RNA", at positions 337 to 1349 of the family's 1533-position model. The record is from RNAcentral. Lineage: Bacteria; Bacillati; Actinomycetota; Actinomycetes; Micrococcales; Intrasporangiaceae.
UCCUACGGGAGGCAGCAGUGGGGAAUAUUGCACAAUGGGCGAAAGCCUGAUGCAGCGACGCCGCGUGAGGGAUGACGGCCUUCGGGUUGUAAACCUCUUUCAGCAGGGAAGAAGCGAAAGUGACGGUACCUGCAGAAGAAGCACCGGCUAACUACGUGCCAGCAGCCGCGGUAAUACGUAGGGUGCGAGCGUUGUCCGGAAUUAUUGGGCGUAAAGAGCUUGUAGGCGGUUUGUCGCGUCUGCCGUGAAAAUCCGGGGCUCAACCCCGGACUUGCGGUGGGUACGGGCAGACUAGAGUGUGGUAGGGGAGACUGGAAUUCCUGGUGUAGCGGUGAAAUGCGCAGAUAUCAGGAGGAACACCGAUGGCGAAGGCAGGUCUCUGGGCCACUACUGACGCUGAGAAGCGAAAGCAUGGGGAGCGAACAGGAUUAGAUACCCUGGUAGUCCAUGCCGUAAACGUUGGGAACUAGGUGUGGGUCUCAUUCCACGAGAUCCGUGCCGCAGCUAACGCAUUAAGUUCCCCGCCUGGGGAGUACGGCCGCAAGGCUAAAACUCAAAGGAAUUGACGGGGGCCCGCACAAGCGGCGGAGCAUGCGGAUUAAUUCGAUGCAACGCGAAGAACCUUACCAAGGCUUGACAUAUGCGAGAACGCUGCAGAGAUGCAGAACUCUUUGGACACUCGCAUACAGGUGGUGCAUGGUUGUCGUCAGCUCGUGUCGUGAGAUGUUGGGUUAAGUCCCGCAACGAGCGCAACCCUCGUUCUAUGUUGCCAGCACGUAAUGGUGGGGACUCAUAGGAGACUGCCGGGGUCAACUCGGAGGAAGGUGGGGAUGACGUCAAAUCAUCAUGCCCCUUAUGUCUUGGGCUUCACGCAUGCUACAAUGGCCGGUACAAAGGGCUGCGAAACCGCGAGGUGGAGCGAAUCCCAAAAAACCGGUCUCAGUUCGGAUUGGGGUCUGCAACUCGACCCCAUGAAGUCGGAAGUCGCUAGUAAUCGCAGAU